Molecule: non-coding RNA, 136 nt
Organism: Triticum aestivum (bread wheat)
Lineage: Eukaryota; Viridiplantae; Streptophyta; Magnoliopsida; Poales; Poaceae
Source: Rfam
AUUCUACUCCCUCCGUUGCACAAUACAUGCCUUCUAUUUGUCACAAUAUAUAUGUAUCUAGACAUGUUUUAGUAUAUAGGUACAUACAUUUUUGGACAAAUGGAAGUCAAGUAUUUUGGAACGGAGGGAGUACACA